GCUCUUUCGGCCGGGAANAAAUCGCACANNNNAAUACUCUGUGUGGAUGACGNUACCGGCAUANNNNNCACCGGCUAACUACGUGCCAGCANCCGCGNUNNUACGUAGGGUGCGAGCGUUAAUCGGAAUUACUGGGCGUAAAGCGUGCGCAGGCGGUUAGAUAAGUUUGAUGUGAAAUCCCCGGGCUCAACCUGGGAACUGCAUUGAAGACUGUCUGACUAGAGUACGGCAGAGGGGGGUGGAAUUCCAUGUGUAGCAGUGAAAUGCGUAGAGAUGUGGAGGAACACCGAUGGCGAAGGCAGCCCCCUGGGUCGAUACUGACGCUCAUGCACGAAAGCGUGGGGAGCAAACAGGAUUAGAUACCCUGGUAGUCCACGCCCUAAACGAUGUCAACUAGUUGUUGGUAGGGUUAAACCUAUUAGUAACGUAGCUAACGCGUGAAGUUGACCGCCUGGGGAGUACGGUCGCAAGAUUAAAACUCAAAGGAAUUGACGG
RNAcentral lists this ribosomal RNA (495 nucleotides) under uncultured Rhodocyclaceae bacterium. RNAcentral's name for it is "partial 16S ribosomal RNA". It matches the Rfam family "Bacterial small subunit ribosomal RNA", at positions 430 to 916 of the family's 1533-position model. Lineage: Bacteria; Pseudomonadati; Pseudomonadota; Betaproteobacteria; Rhodocyclales; Rhodocyclaceae. The record is from RNAcentral.